Molecule: ribosomal RNA, 531 nt
Filed under: uncultured bacterium
Lineage: Bacteria
Description: bacterial SSU rRNA
Rfam family: Bacterial small subunit ribosomal RNA
Source: RNAcentral
UGGGGAAUCUUGGACAAUGGGGGCAACCCUGAUCCAGCCAUGCCGCGUGAGUGAUGAAGGCCUUAGGGUCGUAAAGCUCUUUCGCCUGUGAAGAUAAUGACGGUAGCAGGUAAAGAAACCCCGGCUAACUCCGUGCCAGCAGCCGCGGUAAUACGGAGGGGGUUAGCGUUGUUCGGAAUUACUGGGCGUAAAGCGCACGUAGGCGGACCAGAAAGUUGGGGGUGAAAUCCCGGGGGCUCAACCCCGGAACUGCCUCCAAAACUAUUGGUCUAGAGUUCGAGAGAGGUGAGUGGAAUUCCAAGUGUAGAGGUGAAAUUCGUAGAUAUUUGGAGGAACACCAGUGGCGAAGGCGGCUCACUGGCUCGAUACUGACGCUGAGGUGCGAAAGUGUGGGGAGCAAAACAGGAUUAGAUACCCCUGGUAGUCCACACCGUAAAACGAUGAAUGCCAGUCGUCGGGGUAGCAUGCUAUUCGGUGACACACCUAACGGAUUAAGCAUUCCGCCUGGGGAGUACGGUCGCAAGAUUAAAA